This is a long non-coding RNA of Panthera uncia (snow leopard), 1015 nucleotides long. RefSeq lists it as uncharacterized. The transcript has 3 exons. NCBI's taxonomy places the organism in Eukaryota, Metazoa, Chordata, Mammalia, Carnivora, Felidae. The record is from RefSeq and is a predicted model, not a curated record.
UGACGAUUCACAUCAUUAUUUCCGGACGGCGCCGAUACUCUAAGACUUCAAAACUUUGUUGGGAAAAAUAGAAACCUGCGAGAAAAACCCAUGCAGAAGCCGAAAACAGUUUUCUCAAUGGCAAGCCGUGGAGACCCGGUCUUUGGUGCUCCUUUUCUUGAACAAACCAGUGAAAUGGGCCUAUUGGUUAUGCGUGCGUAGCAAAGACCAUCCCUUGCGAUGGAGAUAUUUGAGGGCUGCCGUGCUCGGGAACUGCCGUGUGUCACAUUUCACAAAAGGUUGUCCAAGUAGCAGCUGUCAUCGUUAAAAAAGCAGCAACAAGAGGAUUGUUGAUAUCAAAAGCAGUACGAACCGACAUUUACUAACAGAAGCAUGUUUUUAAGUUCCCUUCAUAUAUUAUCUCACGUAAUUACCACAGUGACUCCAUCAGUUAAAGAGUUUUGUGAAAUCAGAGCUAUCUCCUGAGGUGGCUCAGGCCUUGAUGCUGAUGUGGGAGCAAGGUCUGAACAGCCACUUGUCUGAGGUAAUCCACAGUACCUGACUUUCUGCAACCUUGACAUUCAAAGAUGGUGGCAGGGGUGGCUUUCCAGUGACUGUCAUUCAUUGCCCUGCCUAUGCUGCUUAUCCCUGUUUCGUCCCUGUCAUUCACUUCUCUCCACCAGUUUCUUAACAAUCCAUGAUUGUCAGUGGAAGCUAAACUGUAGUGGAUUAUUAAAGUAUGUCUCCUCUCUUGCUCAUCCUAAAAAACAAAGUCCACUAAACCAUGUCUGUUAUAUAUCUUCCCUUCACCUCAACCGAGUGUGAUUGUUAAUUAAAAAAUCAACAUCACAUAGUUCGAAUUCUUGCUCCAGCACUUACAAUGGGGCCAAUUUUCUUAGACUGUUUGCCCCCCAUUUUUUCCUGAACUGUAAAAUAGGGCUCAUAAUAUUAUGGGUCUCAGCAAUUCUAUGAGGAUUAAAUGAUAUAAUUCCUGUAAAGGACUUAGGCACAGUGCCUGAAACAUAGUAAAUGCUCA